Molecule: non-coding RNA, 295 nt
Organism: Maylandia zebra (zebra mbuna)
Lineage: Eukaryota; Metazoa; Chordata; Actinopteri; Cichliformes; Cichlidae
Source: RefSeq, a predicted model, not a curated record
AACACAUGCAUCAUAAAACAGGCGUAAGCGCUCACUGGAAGCUGAUUACAAAAUGAGAGGACUCACACUGCUCUGUUUGGUGGGACUUAUUCUCACAGCUUCACAAACUGAGUUGUGCCAUGGGUGCUGGAGUCCCCUUGAAGGUACACGUGAUGAAACUGAAUAAGCCGAGGGAAAUGACACACAGACUGUUCAUCAGAACAUUUCAGUGGAAGCAACAGUGGACGACCGUGAUUCUGCUCAUGUUACUGUCUUACCUAAAUGAUCAUUAAAAGUCUGUUGUGAGAAAAGUUUC